CAACCGUCCCCUCCUCUUUGGUCUUAACUGCCAAGGGGGAACCCAACCCCCGUGUUGCAAUGCUAUUUAAUCCACACGACUCUCGGCAACGGAUAUCUCGGCUCUCGCAUCGAUUAAGAACGUAGCGAAAUGCGAUACCUGGUGUGAAUUGCAGAAUCCCGCGAAACAUCGAGUCUUUCAACGCAAGUUGCGCCCGAGGCCACUUGGCCGAGGGCACGCCUGCCUGGGCAUCACGCCAAACACGCUCCCACGCCUCAUCGGGUUGGGAUGCGGCAUGUGGCCCCCCGUCUAGCAAUAGGCGGUGGGCCAAAGAUGCGGCUGCCGGCAUAUCGUGUCGGACACAGCGCGUGGUGGGCGAACUCGCUUUAGUUACCUCAGUGCUUGACGCUCUGACCGCGACCCCAGGUCAGGCAGGACUACCUGCUGAA
This 428-nucleotide ribosomal RNA is filed under the name embryophyte environmental sample. RNAcentral describes it as "eukaryotic LSU rRNA". The stretch from base 78 to 233 matches the Rfam family "5.8S ribosomal RNA". Lineage: Eukaryota; Viridiplantae; Streptophyta. The record is from RNAcentral.